Phalacrocorax carbo (great cormorant) is the source of this 226-nucleotide non-coding RNA. The record is from RefSeq and is a predicted model, not a curated record. NCBI's taxonomy places the organism in Eukaryota, Metazoa, Chordata, Aves, Suliformes, Phalacrocoracidae.
AAGUGAACUGUGCAGGCAAUGGAUUUAACUGCUACUGAAAGGCUUGGCAAAUACACAAUAGAAGUUUGUUUAUAAGGAGCACUCUAGCCACAUCAGUGACAAAACAGACAUCAGGCAACUAGCAGCUAUCCAUUAGAGUCACAUCUGGUUCUAUAUCUGGAAGUUAAUAAGUGACGCAAAUAACAGAAGUUUGAUUGCUUACUACAUCCCAACUUCUUUCACCCAG